AAUGUUCCCAACCAUCUUUGUUCCCUAGUUCAAGACCACACACAGGGGACAGCUUAUGCCAUCUGAGGAGUCAGACUGGAACAGCUUGUAGUGCUUCUGGAUAUUUUAGUAAGAAAAGGCUACUCUGGGGACCAUUGGCCAGGUGCUCCCUCAAAACUUCACCUCCAAUUUUUAGCUGCAAAUUGUUCACGGUUUAAUCAGAGUUCUCCAACCAGAACUGACUGUUCCCAACUAGAAAGAAAAAUAGUUGCAGCCACACGAUGUCUUUAUACCAAGCACAACAAACUCUGAGGGCACUUCCCUGAUUUCUUUUUAAUCGUCUAUGGACUUCAUUGUUUUCACGUCUCAAGAAGCUCUCCAGCUGCCCUGGUAUGGAUUGUGCAACAAGUUCCUUUAAGGAACAAUUUGUAAACUUGCCCCUCACGUAAUCUGUUGUCUGAGGCCUGAUAUUUACCACAGGCCAUUUUUUAAUAAUUUAAAUAAAAAAUAUAACAAGGUUUCCAAUAAGGAUGUU
Molecule: long non-coding RNA, 514 nt
Organism: Canis lupus familiaris (dog)
Lineage: Eukaryota; Metazoa; Chordata; Mammalia; Carnivora; Canidae
Exons: 3
Source: RefSeq, a predicted model, not a curated record